This 222-nucleotide ribosomal RNA is filed under the name uncultured Glomeromycotina. Its description in RNAcentral is "partial 18S ribosomal RNA". It matches the Rfam family "Eukaryotic small subunit ribosomal RNA", at positions 652 to 873 of the family's 1831-position model. Lineage: Eukaryota; Fungi; Glomeromycota. The record is from RNAcentral.
GGAUUAGUAUAUUGAUCAUGCCUUCAAUACGUAUUGGUGUUACUGAUUCUACCUUCUGACGAACCAUCAUGUCAUUAAUUUGGUGUGGCGGGGAAUCAGGACUGUUACUUUGAAAAAUUAGAGUGUUUAAAGCAGGCUCGCGCUUGAAUACAUUAGCAUGGAAUAAUGAAAUAGGACGUUGAUCCUAUUUUGUUGGUUUCUAGAAUUGACGUAAUGAUUAAU